UACGGGGGGAGCAAGCGUUGUUCGGAUUUACUGGGCGUAAAGGGCGCGUAGGCGGCCACCGCAAGUCGACUGUGAAAUCUCCGGGCUUAACCCGGAAAGGUCAGCCGAUACUGCGGGGCUAGAGUGCAGAAGGGGCAACUGGAAUUCUCGGUGUAGCGGUGAAAUGCGUAGAUAUCGAGAGGAACACCUGCGGCGAAGGCGGGUUACUGGGCUGACACUGACGCUGAGGCGCGAAAGCUAGGGGAGCGAACGGG
Molecule: ribosomal RNA, 254 nt
Filed under: uncultured bacterium
Lineage: Bacteria
Description: partial 16S ribosomal RNA
Rfam family: Bacterial small subunit ribosomal RNA
Source: RNAcentral